This 432-nucleotide ribosomal RNA is filed under the name uncultured bacterium. Its description in RNAcentral is "bacterial SSU rRNA". It matches the Rfam family "Bacterial small subunit ribosomal RNA", at positions 29 to 506 of the family's 1533-position model. The record is from RNAcentral.
AAUGAACGCUGGCGGCAUGCCUAACACAUGCAAGUCGAACGAGACCUUCGGGUCUAGUGGCGCACGGGUGCGUAACGCGUGGGAAUCUGCCCUUGGGUUCGGAAUAACAGUUAGAAAUGACUGCUAAUACCGAAUGAUGUCGUAAGACCAAAGAUUUAUCGCCCAGGGAUGAGCCCGCGUAAGAUUAGGUAGUUGGUGUGGUAAAGGCGCACCAAGCCGACGAUCUUUAGCUGGUCUGAGAGGAUGAUCAGCCACACUGGGACUGAGACACGGCCCAGACUCCUACGGGAGGCAGCAGUGGGGAAUAUUGGACAAUGGGCGAAAGCCUGAUCCAGCAAUGCCGCGUGAGUGAUGAAGGCCUUAGGGUUGUAAAGCUCUUUUACCCGGGAUGAUAAUGACAGUACCGGGAGAAUAAGCUCCGGCUAACUCCGU